This 756-nucleotide ribosomal RNA is filed under the name Bacillus sp. enrichment culture clone OGS103. Its description in RNAcentral is "bacterial SSU rRNA". It matches the Rfam family "Bacterial small subunit ribosomal RNA", at positions 62 to 801 of the family's 1533-position model. Lineage: Bacteria; Bacillati; Bacillota; Bacilli; Caryophanales; Bacillaceae. The record is from RNAcentral.
UCGAGCGGACAGAAGGGAGCUUGCUCCCGGAUGUUAGCGGCGGACGGGUGAGUAACACGUGGGUAACCUGCCUGUAAGACUGGGAUAACUCCGGGAAACCGGAGCUAAUACCGGAUAGUUCCUUGAACCGCAUGGUUCAAGGAUGAAAGACGGUUUCGGCUGUCACUUACAGAUGGACCCGCGGCGCAUUAGCUAGUUGGUGAGGUAACGGCUCACCAAGGCGACGAUGCGUAGCCGACCUGAGAGGGUGAUCGGCCACACUGGGACUGAGACACGGCCCAGACUCCUACGGGAGGCAGCAGUAGGGAAUCUUCCGCAAUGGACGAAAGUCUGACGGAGCAACGCCGCGUGAGUGAUGAAGGUUUUCGGAUCGUAAAGCUCUGUUGUUAGGGAAGAACAAGUGCAAGAGUAACUGCUUGCACCUUGACGGUACCUAACCAGAAAGCCACGGCUAACUACGUGCCAGCAGCCGCGGUAAUACGUAGGUGGCAAGCGUUGUCCGGAAUUAUUGGGCGUAAAGGGCUCGCAGGCGGUUUCUUAAGUCUGAUGUGAAAGCCCCCGGCUCAACCGGGGAGGGUCAUUGGAAACUGGGAAACUUGAGUGCAGAAGAGGAGAGUGGAAUUCCACGUGUAGCGGUGAAAUGCGUAGAGAUGUGGAGGAACACCAGUGGCGAAGGCGACUCUCUGGUCUGUAACUGACGCUGAGGAGCGAAAGCGUGGGGAGCGAACAGGAUUAGAUACCCUGGUAGUCCACGCC